RNAcentral lists this ribosomal RNA (318 nucleotides) under Triticum aestivum (bread wheat). RNAcentral's name for it is "partial small subunit ribosomal RNA". Lineage: Eukaryota; Viridiplantae; Streptophyta; Magnoliopsida; Poales; Poaceae. The record is from RNAcentral.
AUGAUUCAAACUGGCUCUAAAUAAACACAUAUUUUUUUGUGGAAAGUUCAAAUGCCUCCACGAGUCAAAGUUUUUAUUUGGCUGGCUCUGAGAAAUUGCAUUCUUACCAAAGAUAAUUUGUCGCAUCGGGGGUGGAUUGGUGAUAGUAAGUGUUCUUUUUGUGGGAGAGAAGAAACUGUUAAUCACCUGUUUUUCCAUUGUUCUGUUGCACAAUUGUUAUGGAACAUUAUGAAAUGUGUUUUUGACAUGUUUGAUAUACCUGCCACUGUUCAUGAUUUGUUCAAUUCUUGGGUGAAAAAAACAAUAAGAAUGAUAUAG